UUGCAUUGUUGGUGAUAACCAUUGAC
RNAcentral lists this non-coding RNA (26 nucleotides) under Cricetulus griseus (Chinese hamster). The record is from RNAcentral. Lineage: Eukaryota; Metazoa; Chordata; Mammalia; Rodentia; Cricetidae.